RNAcentral lists this ribosomal RNA (331 nucleotides) under Clostridioides difficile. RNAcentral describes it as "bacterial LSU rRNA". It matches the Rfam family "Bacterial large subunit ribosomal RNA", at positions 534 to 864 of the family's 2925-position model. Lineage: Bacteria; Bacillati; Bacillota; Clostridia; Peptostreptococcales; Peptostreptococcaceae. The record is from RNAcentral.
GGGAGUGAAAUAGAACCUGAAACCCUGCACUUACAAGCGGUGGAAGCACAGUUCUUGUGGGACCGCGUACUUUUGGUAGAGCGGGCAAACGAGUUACGGUAGGUAGCAAGGUUAAGGAGUUAAGGUGUGGAGCGGUAGCGAAAGGGGGUUUUAACUGAGCGUUCAGUUACUUGACGUAGACCCGAAACCGGGCGACCUACCCAGGAGCAGGAUGAAGCGAAAGUAAAAUUUCGUGGAGGUCCGAACCCACGAGCGUUGAAAAGCUCGGGGAUGACUUGUGGGUAGCGGUGAAAUUCCAAUCGAGCCCGGAGAUAGCUGGUUCUCCCCGAAA